Molecule: non-coding RNA, 2232 nt
Organism: Zootermopsis nevadensis
Lineage: Eukaryota; Metazoa; Arthropoda; Insecta; Blattodea; Termopsidae
Source: RefSeq, a predicted model, not a curated record
CAACAUCCAUCCUCAACCCGAAAUUUUUAUAUAAAUUAAUGUGCAGAUAAACAAGAUUUCCGUGGUGGUUAAAACUAUAAUAUUAACAAGUAGAGGUUAUGUCGAUAAUCUGUGCUUACAAGUGGUGGGAAAAAGUCUCUCACCAACGGACGACGGAAAUUAAACUCAACUGGGCUCGACGUCAUCACUGUCAAUGCUUGGAGUUAUGAAGCACUCAUUUACAUCCAGACAUCCCUUCUCUGCAUCCAUAAACCAGCCAGAACUGCACACAGAACAUCCUGCAACAUGUCAAAAUAAACACAAAGGCUAUGGAUUUGAAGGAACGUGGACAAACAGAAAUGGUUAAACACUACAAACCUUUAGGCCCAGCCUGAGAGCAGAUUCCUUGACAAGAAGCAUGACAAGGAGAACAGAGCAGUUUCUCCUCGUCUCGAUAUGACUCGUAAUAUGUGGAAGCACAAGAAUCGCAGAACUCUCCUUCAUAUCCUGGGUCACAACUGCAUUUACCAUUUCCCUUUCUUGUUCCUGCGCCCUUGACAAAUAAAUACGUUUACAUUAAUAACAGCAAUGGCAAUCUCUCCUGGAGUUCUUUUAGCUUUGAAAGCAUUCGGUGGACUAUUUUCAUAAAGAACAGUUAAGGACAUAAAUGCAUUAGAAAAUACUUGCAUCCAAACAAGGAAAAAGAAUUAUAUUUGGAUACGUACACAAUGGAAAAAUCAAGCAUAACAAGGAACUGUAGACAUGGCUAAAAUACUUAAAAUUAAAUGUAUUCAGCCUUUUGACAUGAAAUAUGUCAACACAUCUUUUAUACUAUUUGGGUCUUUGUUGCUUAUCUAUUUGCAUAGGUCCAGCCUCACCCAGAUGCAUGUUUUGAUAAGGACAGAAACUGACAAGAUCACUGGUAAAUAAUCUGUCCAUACAGCAAGAGGUGAUAGGUUCAGUUUUAUAUUGCCAGAUUUUAUUAAAGAAAAUUUUGCUUUUAAAUUAAAAGUAUUUUAACUUGUAAUUAAUUCAGGCAUACUGAGAUAAAAAUAAGCUAAGACUCUCAGUAAAUUGUAUAGCAAUGAGGAAUGUCAGCAGUAGACAAAUAUCUGGGAAUAAAUUAUUGAAAUCAAUGAAAAAAGCAAACCUGCAAAGAACGCAUCAUGCAAAUACAUGUCCAAAGAAUUGUAGGACACCAUCUAAUGCUUGUCAACAACACUUUUUCAAUUACACUGAUUACACAGUAUUAAAUGACAAAAUAAUCAUGGAUGAUGAACUGGAAUAGAUGUGCAAGGAAGUGGUCACAAAACUACUUCAAGGUACCAUUCCAGCAUUUCUCCGAAGUGUCUGAGACAAAUCAGAAACCUCAAUCAGGACAUCUGUUCUCUGGUUCACAAUUUAAACCAAGAACCUCCCAAAUACAAAUCAGAAAUGGUAAUCACUUUAUUGUGAAAUUUGUUCCACUCUGGUUUAUAUCUGUAUGAGCAAUGCCAUUUUCACAACUGGUUAUAAUAAAAAUGUUCUGGCAAAGCCAAAGUUUGAGUUUCAGACCAUAAAGUUCAAUCAGCUUUCGAAAUAAAAACCAUGUACUAUAUUGCUCAACAGCAGGUAUGCUGAUGAAAAAGUGUUGUCUAGUUGUAUGAAGCAUUAGUAUACUGAUUGAUGUAUGUGAGAUUUCAGGUUCUCACAGUGGCGAGUAUGAAGAUGGACAUCUCCAGGGUUGUUGCACUGAUUAGUCUGAUAGAAGUUUACACAUUGCCCUGAUGAUGAUGGCUCCAAGCACCUCUGAAAAAUCAGUAAACUUCUACCAAACUAAAUAGUGCAACCAUCCUGGAGGCCGCCAUCUUUGCUGACGUUCAGCACAUAUAAAGCUAGUAUAUGUAACACAACAGUAGUGCUAUGGUCAAAAGCCUACCUUACAUUUGCCACUCUUGUUGCACACAUUGUUUGGGAAACCGGGACAUGGUUUGCAGUCAGCACCAUAGUGAUUAUCUGGACAACAGUACUUUAACGUGUCAAUGCAGAGGUAUUUAUACAUAUCUUCAUCUUGUCUUUGAAACCACCAUUCAUCAAUAUACUGUUCUGUUUCUUCAGACAAAGAAUGACACUGAAACAGUAUAAAACCUUACUCAAGAAUUUUUCUUUUGAUAGGUAUGCUUAAUGUUACAAUAACAUCUGCUGAAACAUGUUUACAUCAUACAAUAUAUAUUAAUACAUAAUAAAGGCUUCUCCUAAAUGUUUCAUCAGCAA